RNAcentral lists this ribosomal RNA (253 nucleotides) under uncultured bacterium. RNAcentral's name for it is "partial 16S ribosomal RNA". It matches the Rfam family "Bacterial small subunit ribosomal RNA", at positions 524 to 776 of the family's 1533-position model. The record is from RNAcentral.
UACGUAGGGUGCAAGCGUUGUCCGGAAUUAUUGGGCGUAAAGAGCUCGUAGGCGGUUUGUUGCGUCGGCUGUGAAAUCCCGAGGCUCAACCUCGGGUCUGCAGUCGAUACGAGCAAACUAGAGUGUUGCAGGGGAGACUGGAAUCCCCGGUGUAGCGGUGAAAUGCGCAGAUAUCGGGAAGAACACCCGUGGCGAAGGCGGCUCUCUGGGACGGUACUGACGCUGAGACGCGAAAGCGUGGGGAGCGAACAGG